RNAcentral lists this ribosomal RNA (253 nucleotides) under uncultured bacterium. RNAcentral's name for it is "partial 16S ribosomal RNA". It matches the Rfam family "Bacterial small subunit ribosomal RNA", at positions 524 to 776 of the family's 1533-position model. The record is from RNAcentral.
UACGUAGGGUGCAAGCGUUAAUCGGAAUUACUGGGCGUAAAGCGUGCGCAGGCAGUUUUGUAAGUCUGUUGUGAAAUCCCCGGGCUUAACCUGGGAAUGGCAAUGGAGACUGCAAGGCUAGAGUUUGGCAGAGGGGGGUAGAAUUCCACGUGUAGCAGUGAAAUGCGUAGAGAUGUGGAGGAACACCGAUGGCGAAGGCAGCCCCCUGGGUCAAGACUGACGCUCAUGCACGAAAGCGUGGGGAGCAAACAGG